This is a non-coding RNA of Xyrichtys novacula (pearly razorfish), 1194 nucleotides long. The record is from the annotation of a GenBank genome assembly. NCBI's taxonomy places the organism in Eukaryota, Metazoa, Chordata, Actinopteri, Labriformes, Labridae.
UGGGAGAGGAGGAGAAGGAGGAGAGGAGGAGGAGGAGGAGGAGGAGAGACACGAGUUCAAAUCAAUGAAGGGUGGAGGAGGAGGUGGAGGGUCGAGGCUCGGUGUGAGAGCAGACAGAGUCCAAAAACAGAGAGAGACAAAGAGAAUGAUGGAGCAGAGUGAGACGUCUGUGGAGAGAGAAGAGAUGAAUGAGGAGGAGUGAGAAAUGUGCAGCAGGAGCCCCCCCUGCAGGACAAAGUACGAACUGACACAGCUGCUGCAGAGAUUCAGCUUUUAUGAAUAUCUCAGAGAGGGUUCGAGUAAAAAAGAAGAAAAGAGGGAUGAGUUUUAUCUCCUUUAAAACUAUAAAGACAAAAUCAGUCACAAAUGUGGAAAAACAGGAGCUGAAAUACCUGAAAAAGUCAGACGAGCUCCUCUGAAACCUGGAGUUUUUAUCUGGUUAUGAAACAGACUGAUGUUAAUAUUGAUGAAUUAAAUAUUUCUAUAGUUAUUUUUUAAUUUCCUUAACACAGGAAGUGAUCAGCUGUGAGCUGCAGAGUGAUUUUUAAUGAUGAAGUAUCAGGCGACCCUCUAAUAUGAGACCAAUUAUAUAAAAAGACCAAAUCCUUUAAAUUAAUAAAGAUAUUUUAGUAAAAUAAUGAAGGGAAUGAUCGUGUUUAACAUAUUUAGACUGUGUUUCUGAGGUGCUGCACAGCUAAAUUUUUCAGAUUUAAGAGGGUUCGAUUUCACUCAUUUUCACCUCUCACCAUUACAUGACUGACAUCCCCAAAUCUCCUUAUUCAUCCUGAACUACCAUCUAUUAAAACCUCAUUUCAGCCUCUGCCUGAAAAGCUUAGUUUUAGCUGUUUCUACACUGAUAGAAAGUUUAAGGUUUUUACUUUUUACUCAGCUCUGCAGUCCUGAUAGAAACCUGAAAGUCCACAUUAUUCAUUAGCUCCAGUAAACUGCUGUGAUCAUGUGAUUUACAGUUAGAGGUUCAGGUUCUUCAUGAAGGUCUUUAUAGAUGAACAGAUCCAGAGUUCAGUACCAGCUGAGACUCAGAUCCAGAUCAGACUGGACUUUAUUUACAAAGGAGUCAUCGGUGAAGAGGUUAGCCCAGAGUUCGGUAACUCUUUAAAUACCUGAAACCAGAAAAUUAACCAGAAAAUUCAAUUUUUUUGGAGCUGAAAUGUUUAUUUCAUUUACUACUGAAAA